RNAcentral lists this microRNA precursor (146 nucleotides) under Pelobates cultripes (western spadefoot toad). Lineage: Eukaryota; Metazoa; Chordata; Amphibia; Anura; Pelobatidae. The record is from RNAcentral.
AACACACUGCGCCCUUCAUACAUACAAUACGUCCAAACAAAUACAUAUAUAAAUAUAUAUAUAAUACACAAUACCCCUCUUGUUUUAUAAAUAUAUAUAUAUAUAUAUAUUUGGACGUAUUGUAUGUGUGAAGGGCGCAGUGUGUU